This 439-nucleotide ribosomal RNA is filed under the name uncultured bacterium. RNAcentral's name for it is "partial 16S ribosomal RNA". It matches the Rfam family "Bacterial small subunit ribosomal RNA", at positions 339 to 795 of the family's 1533-position model. The record is from RNAcentral.
CUACGGGAGGCUCCAGUGAGGAAUAUUGCACAAUGGGGGGAACCCUGAUGCAGCAACGCCGCGUGGAGGAUGACGCAUUUCGGUGUGUAAACUCCUUUUAUAUGUCAAGAAAAUGACGGUAGCAUAUGAAUAAGCACCGGCUAACUCCGUGCCAGCGGCCGCGGUAAUACGGAGGGUGCAAGCGUUACUCGGAAUCACUGGGCGUAAAGGACGCGUAGGCGGGUUGGAAAGUCAGGUGUGAAAUCCUACAGCUUAACUGUAGAACUGCACUUGAAACUUCUAAUAUAGAGUAUGGGAGGGGGAGAUGGAAUUAGUGGUGUAGGGGUAAAAUCCGUAGAUAUCACUAGGAAUACCUAAAGCGAAGGCGAUCUCCUGGAACAUUACUGACGCUAAGGCGUGAAAGCGUGGGGAGCAAACAGGAUUAGAUACCCUCGUAGUC